RNAcentral lists this ribosomal RNA (466 nucleotides) under Semisulcospira reiniana. RNAcentral's name for it is "partial 16S ribosomal RNA". The record is from RNAcentral. Lineage: Eukaryota; Metazoa; Mollusca; Gastropoda; Semisulcospiridae.
GAAAUUUCAUUCGCACUAGCGAUAGUAGUUUCUCCGAAAAGAUAUAAAAGUGUCGGGGAAAAGUUUAAUUUAUAAUAUUAAUUAUUAUAUAUACACUCUUUUUUAUUAAUUUUUUUGAGGAUAAGCUCAGAAAAAAGUUAAGAUAUUUUCAGCUAAAAUUACUGUGUGGGCUUAAAAUUGGCCACCAUAAAAGUUUGUUAUAGAAUAGUAAUCUUAAUUUAGAAAAUAAAUAUAUUUUAAUCUAAAUCAUUACGGGGACAAGAGCUUUAAUUAAAAUUAAGUUCUAUGCCUAUGCUAGAAUGAGUAUUAAAACCUAAUUAUAAAAGAAAUAUUAGUUUACUUUUCUUCAAAAAAAAAUUCUAAAAAAAAUUAAUUAAUUAGAAGGAAUUCAGCAAGUUUAAUUCUUCGCCUGUUAAUCAAAAACAUGGCUCUUAGCUAACAUAAAUAUAAAGAGUCGAAACUGCCC